GCAACAAUUGCUAUACAUUAUUGAUGACUAGUAAUAAUCACGUGAUUAACACGUAUAGCAAUUGUAUUGUUGAUUGAAUUUCCUUUUCCUGUCGUUCAUAGCAUUCAAGCAUUCAUUCAGUCAUUCAUUGAUUGAAUGAAUGGUGUGUUUGUCUACACAUUGAUUGCAAUUGUCGUCUAAUUUAAUACCUAUUUGUUGGACAUGAGAGCGAAGUGGCGGAAGAAGAGAAUGAGGAGAUUGAAGAGGAAGAGGAGGAAAAUGAGGGAAAGGUCUAAAUAGAUGGACGAAGAUUGACACCAACGGAUGAUACGGCAAAUUAAUCCGAUGGUGAGCACAAUAUUAUUGGCUUUUCAUGGCUUAAGGGAACCAUUGGUUCCGAUUAUGACAACACUCCUAACGAGUGAUUCGAUGCAAACCAUGGAUGUCAUCAUUAAUAUUGUCUUGAAUUUAAUAAUAAAAUACUUUGUAAUUAAUAUUAAUUGCAAUAAAAAAGUGUUUCUUAAAAUA
This is a long non-coding RNA of Oppia nitens, 507 nucleotides long. RefSeq lists it as uncharacterized. The record is from RefSeq and is a predicted model, not a curated record. NCBI's taxonomy places the organism in Eukaryota, Metazoa, Arthropoda, Arachnida, Sarcoptiformes, Oppiidae. The transcript is spliced from 2 exons.